AUUGAACGCUGGCGGCAGGCUUAACACAUGCAAGUCGAGCGGGGUGAUGGUGCUUGCACUAUCACUUAGCGGCGGACGGGUGAGUAAUGCUUAGGAAUCUGCCUAUUAGUGGGGGACAACAUCUCGAAAGGGAUGCUAAUACCGCAUACGUCCUACGGGAGAAAGCAGGGGAUCACUUGUGACCUUGCGCUAAUAGAUGAGCCUAAGUCGGAUUAGCUAGUUGGUGGGGUAAAGGCCUACCAAGGCGACGAUCUGUAGCGGGUCUGAGAGGAUGAGCCGCCACACUGGGACUGAGACACGGCCCAGACUCCGACGGGAGGCAGCAGUGGGGAAUAUUGGACAAUGGGGGGAACCCUGAUCCAGCCAUGCCGCGUGUGUGAAGAAGGCCUUAUGGUUGUAAAGCACUUUAAGCGAGGAGGAGGCUACUUUAGUUAAUACCUAGAGAUAGUGGACGUUACUCGCAGAAUAAGCACCGGCUAACUCUGUGCCAGCCGCCGCGGUAA
RNAcentral lists this ribosomal RNA (503 nucleotides) under uncultured bacterium. Its description in RNAcentral is "partial 16S ribosomal RNA". It matches the Rfam family "Bacterial small subunit ribosomal RNA", at positions 30 to 523 of the family's 1533-position model. The record is from RNAcentral.